GACGAACUCUGGCGGCGUGCCUAACACAUGCAAGUCGAACGGAGAAUUUUAUUUCGGUAGAAUUCUUAGUGGCGAACGGGUGAGUAACGCGUAGGCAACCUGCCCUUUAGACGGGGACAACAUUCCGAAAGGAGUGCUAAUACCGGAUGUGAUCAUCGUGCCGCAUGGCAGGAUGAAGAAAGAUGGCCUCUACAAGUAAGCUAUCGCUAAAGGAUGGGCCUGCGUCUGAUUAGCUAGUUGGUAGUGUAACGGACUACCAAGGCGAUGAUCAGUAGCCGGUCUGAGAGGAUGAACGGCCACAUUGGGACUGAGACACGGCCCAAACUCCUACGGGAGGCAGCAGUGGGGAAUCUUCCGCAAUGGACGAAAGUCUGACGGAGCAACGCCGCGUGAGUGAUGAAGGAUUUCGGUCUGUAAAGCUCUGUUGUUUAUGACGAACGUGCAGUGUGUGAACAAUGCAUUGCAAUGACGGUAGUAAACGAGGAAGCCACGGCUAACUACGUGCCAGCAGCCGCGGUAAUACGUAGGUGGCGAGCGUUGUCCGGAAUUAUUGGGCGUAAAGAGCAUGUAGGCGGCUUAAUAAGUCGAGCGUGAAAGUGCGGGGCUCAUCCCCGUAUGGCGCUGGAAACUGUUAGGCUUGAGUGCAGGAGAGGAAAGGGGAAUUCCCAGUGUAGCGGUGAAAUGCGUAGAUAUUGGGAGGAACACCAGUGGCGAAGGCGCCUUUCUGGACUGUGUCUGACGCUGAGAUGCGAAAGCCAGGGUAGCGAA
This 768-nucleotide ribosomal RNA is filed under the name uncultured bacterium. RNAcentral describes it as "bacterial SSU rRNA". It matches the Rfam family "Bacterial small subunit ribosomal RNA", at positions 28 to 772 of the family's 1533-position model. The record is from RNAcentral.